This 464-nucleotide ribosomal RNA is filed under the name uncultured bacterium. RNAcentral describes it as "partial 16S ribosomal RNA". It matches the Rfam family "Bacterial small subunit ribosomal RNA", at positions 339 to 795 of the family's 1533-position model. The record is from RNAcentral.
CUACGGGGUGCUGCAGUGAGGAAUUUUGCGCAAUGGGGGAAACCCUGACGCAGCAACGCCGCGUGAGCGAAGAAGGCCCUCGGGUCGUAAAGCUCUGUCAAGUGGGAAAAAAAUUUUUUGAUCAAUAGUCAAAAGACUUGAUGGUACCACUGGAGGAAGCACCGGCUAACUCCGUGCCAGCAGCCGCGGUAAUACGGAGGGUGCGAGCGUUGUUCGGAUUUACUGGGCGUAAAGAGCGUGUAGGCGGUUUAGCAAGUCAGAUGUGAAAGCCCUGGGCUCAACCCGGGAAGUGCAUUUGAAACUGCUUCACUAGAGUAUGGGAGAGGAGAUUGGAAUUCCUGGUGUAGAGGUGAAAUUCGUAGAUAUCAGGAGGAACACCCGUGGCGAAGGCGAUUCUCUGGACCAAUACUGACGCUGAGACGCGAAAGCGUGGGGAGCAAACAGGAUUAGAUACCCUGGUAGUC